GUGGGGAAUAUUGGGCAAUGGGCGAAAGCCUGACCCAGCAACGCCGCGUGAAGGAAGAAGGUCUUCGGAUCGUAAACUUCUAUCCUUGGUGAAGAUAAAGACGGUAGCCGAGAAGGAAGCCCCGGCUAACUACGUGCCAGCAGCCGCGGUAAUACGUAGGGGGCAAGCGUUGUCCGGAAUGAUUGGGCGUAAAGGGCGCGUAGGCGGCCUGGUAAGUCUGGAGUGAAAGUCCUGCUUUUAAGGUGGGAAUUGCGUUGGAUACUGUCGGGCUUGAGUGCAGGAGAGGUAAGUGGAAUUCCCGGUGUAGCGGUGAAAUGCGUAGAGAUCGGGAGGAACACCAGUGGCGAAGGCGACUUACUGGACUGUAACUGACGCUGAGGCGCGAAAGUGUGGGGAGCAAACAGGAUUAGAAACCCUAGUAGUCC
This 425-nucleotide ribosomal RNA is filed under the name uncultured bacterium. RNAcentral describes it as "partial 16S ribosomal RNA". It matches the Rfam family "Bacterial small subunit ribosomal RNA", at positions 354 to 796 of the family's 1533-position model. The record is from RNAcentral.